CCCUUAGAUGUUCUGGGCCGCACGCGCGCUACACUGAUUCAUGCAACAAGCAUCCGUCCUUGGCCGACAGGCCCGGGCAAUCUUUGAACGCUGGUCGUGAUGGGGAUAGACUUUUGCAAUUUUUGGUCUUCAACGAGGAAUUCCUAGUAAACGCAAGUCAUCAACUUGCAUUGAUUACGUCCCUGCCCUUUGUACACACCGCCCGUCGCACCUACCGAUUGAAUGGUCCGGUGAAGCCUCCGGAUUGGCGCGCACCUCGGUGCCGCCGAGAAGUUGGCUAAACCUUACCAUUUAGAGGAAGGUGAAGUCGUAACA
This 315-nucleotide ribosomal RNA is filed under the name uncultured eukaryote. RNAcentral's name for it is "partial 18S ribosomal RNA". It matches the Rfam family "Eukaryotic small subunit ribosomal RNA", at positions 1470 to 1796 of the family's 1831-position model. The record is from RNAcentral.